UUUCUCUUCUCCAGGUGAAGGUCCUGGGCCGUGACAUGCCCGGGGAGCCUCGGCAGGGCAGCUCCUGGCAGAGGGUGUCCUUGGUCACAGCAGCUUCUGUGACCAAAUACUCUGGAGCAGCCCAAGAGCUGGGUGGGAGAGUGAACCCUGAGUAAAGGACCUGGGAGAGAAGAAGCAUGGCAGGCAUUGGAACAGUUGGUAAGAGUUGUGUUUCUUCUGUUUAGACAGUGACAGAAGGGGAAAUAAGUGAUUUUAAAAACCCCAAGUACAUCAGAGGUUUGAAUAGUAUAAGGGAUAUGUGUCCCAAAAAAGCUCCUUCAUGCAUUCUUGAAAUCUGGAGGGAAAAGUCCUAGUGAAGUUUCCUUUUUUUCUUUUUCUUUCUGUUUGAACCAGUGGGCAGAAAUGGAGAGCUGGUGGCAGAGUGUCCUAAGAGAAGUAUUUGGGUUGAUAAGCUGGUGUGCUGGAUCCCAUUCCUCUUGCCUGUGGUCAUCUGAAAGUCUUUGAGAAGACAGGCCCA
RNAcentral lists this long non-coding RNA (517 nucleotides) under Manacus vitellinus (golden-collared manakin). Its description in RNAcentral is "lncRNA (ENSMVIG00005004261.1)". The record is from RNAcentral. Lineage: Eukaryota; Metazoa; Chordata; Aves; Passeriformes; Pipridae.